GACGAACGCUGGCGGCGUGCCUAAUACAUGCAAGUAGAACGCUGAAGGAGGAGCUUGCUUCUCUGGAUGAGUUGCGAACGGGUGAGUAACGCGUAGGUAACCUGCCUUGUAGCGGGGGAUAACUAUUGGAAACGAUAGCUAAUACCGCAUAAGAGUAGAUCUUGCAUGACAUUUGCUUAAAAGGUGCAAUUGCAUCACUACCAGAUGGACCUGCGUUGUAUUAGCUAGUUGGUGGGGUAACGGCUCACCAAGGCGACGAUACAUAGCCGACCUGAGAGGGUGAUCGGCCACACUGGGACUGAGACACGGCCCAGACUCCUACGGGAGGCAGCAGUAGGGAAUCUUCGGCAAUGGACGGAAGUCUGACCGAGCAACGCCGCGUGAGGGAAGAAGGUUUUCGGAUCGUAAAGCUCUGUUGUAAGAGAAGAACGAGUGUGAGAGUGGAAAGUUCACACUGUGACGGUAUCUUACCAGAAAGGGACGGCUAACUACGUG
Molecule: ribosomal RNA, 495 nt
Filed under: uncultured bacterium
Lineage: Bacteria
Description: partial 16S ribosomal RNA
Rfam family: Bacterial small subunit ribosomal RNA
Source: RNAcentral